CGGGAGAGAUCGUCAAAACCAGAGGCAAAAAGUAUAUCAAGAACACAAGCGAUAUUCUCGAAACUGAAUAUCACUUUGGUUUGUGACAAACUGUUUGCCUUUGGUUUUGGCGCGUUCUCCCGAU
RNAcentral lists this microRNA precursor (124 nucleotides) under Sphaeroforma sirkka. RNAcentral's name for it is "Ssi-Mir-Nov-6_pre". The record is from RNAcentral. Lineage: Eukaryota; Ichthyosporea; Ichthyophonida.